Molecule: long non-coding RNA, 1569 nt
Organism: Brachypodium distachyon (stiff brome)
Lineage: Eukaryota; Viridiplantae; Streptophyta; Magnoliopsida; Poales; Poaceae
Exons: 3
Source: RefSeq, a predicted model, not a curated record
UCCCCGAAAUACCAACCGCCCUUCUUCUGGCUAGGCUAGUUCUUCAAAGCAAGCAAGCAAGUGCCUGCAGACUGGCCAAGGGCCAACGAGGAUGGGCCAUACGGGGACACGCAUACCGUACGGCUGGUUGCAAGAUCUAGAGCGACGAGUGAAGCGAAAUGGACACGCAUAUCGCAGCAUCUGAAUUCGCUCAUAACAUCCAUAUCCUAAAGCCGAAGGAUUCUUCGCUCCCUCCGCGCUCCACGACUGCUCGAGGGUUUUUUCUUUUUUGUUUCAGCGCGGGGAUUUCUGGAUCCAGACGGCAGUGGAUGCUUCAAGAUGGUCCACCUGCCGUUCGUCGGUAAGGCGGUUUCCUCCACACUCUUCCACUAUCUUCCGAUUUGAUCUGUUGUUCGUUCCUUUCACGAUCUUCCGUCCUGGCCCGAUUUCGCUUCUUCUCUCCGGAGCCCGAGCGCGCCUCCGGCGGGAUUUGUUCUGCUGCUUCUGGACCUGGAGGCGGCCGUGCGGACGGAGAUGUACUCAGUGUCCAUGAAGAGGAGAGGCACAAACCCACACCAUGUUGAUUGCAAAGCCGUAGUACAUUUUUUACUUUUUACUUUGCACAGCUCCAUCUUCCUCCGAAUGCAUGCCAAGGAAAUCUUCGAAGCGACGCACGGCUGGAAUCCUUUACGGCAGCGCCUGGAAGUGUGACGGUGGUUAUCAAAACGUUGGGGAUCUGGAGCUUUUGCAUUCUGCUGUUGAUCUGGGCUCAGUAAGGAUGACUGAGGAUCUGGUGUUGGGAGAGGGCUGCGUCAGGCAGACAGGAGCAAAGCUCUGACGCUGAAAGGAGUUUCCUGAAGACGCCAGGCGCUCUGCUCUUUUUUAGUUUGCUUGGUAGUGUUAGUCUACUGUCUGCUCCUGGACCUGUAAUCUCCUCUUUGCUUUCGUCUUUUUUACUGUCUGAACUGAACCUGUAGAACCAGCUGAUUUCGUUAAUGAAAUCGGAGAGGGCGAGCCUCUCUUUUUAAAAAAAAAAAAAUCUUCCUCCGAAUGCAUGCCAGAUCAUGCUAUUGAAGAAUUAGUACAGAAGGCUAAGACUGGACGAGCUGAAUGAUUUGGAUUAUUUCCUCGGCGAUGUUGAUACAAUCCGCUGUGAUGGUCGAGCUGGUGCUGUAGGAAUUUUGGGCCUGGAAGCAGUCAGAGAAUUGUCAGCCCCAUAUGCAUGCUGUAAUCGUUGCUUUGGGGUGUCAAUGCUGAAGAAUUAGAUGGGGUGAUCUCAUAAAGAGGCAAAGUGGUUGCUUUCAUUUUGGGACGCGCAUUCAGGAUUAAUAUUUAUUGGCAUGUCGAUAUUGAUGUUUGUUCCAUGAUCAUUCUUGGUUUUGGUGGUGAUAACUCCCAAUGGUUUUCUGGUUUAUAAAUUGGAUACUACAAUGCUCAGUUUGUGGGCAGGUUACGGUUUCAAAAAAUGUCUUAAGCGAGCCAAGUUGUGGUUUCUCUCCAUUAUUUCUCACCGUUUAUGUUUUCUUUUGGUUGUUGAUAAAACCCUCCCGGUGAGCGCAUGAUGAAGUAAAGUAUACUCUAUUUUUGAUA